Molecule: transfer RNA, 866 nt
Filed under: uncultured Synechococcus sp.
Lineage: Bacteria; Bacillati; Cyanobacteriota; Cyanophyceae; Synechococcales; Synechococcaceae
Description: partial contains 16S ribosomal RNA, 16S-23S ribosomal RNA intergenic spacer, and 23S ribosomal RNA
Rfam family: tRNA (bases 285-357)
Source: RNAcentral
UGGAUCACCUCCUAACAGGGAGACAAACAACGAUUUUGAUGCCUGAGUACAUUUAUUCUUAGGCCGAAAUCCUGUCACCUUAGGUCGAUCGGUACCUCAGAUUUGAAGUUCAAGAAUCAGCAGCAAUGUUGAGGAGAUGAGUAACGAAUUUCAGUUCCUAAACUUUGUCUAGGUCACACCCCACAAGGGUUGAGUUUUCCUGGGCCAUUAGCUCAGGUGGUUAGAGCGCACCCCUGAUAAGGGUGAGGUCCCUGGUUCAAGUCCAGGAUGGCCCAUUCGGUGUUGGGGGUUUAGCUCAGUUGGUAGAGCGCCUGCUUUGCAAGCAGGAUGUCAGGAGUUCGAGUCUCCUAACCUCCACUGACCGAACUCAAUGUCCAGCUUUACAUCGAAUGAUGGAAAGCCACUCGAUUGUGAUGUGUGACGUAGACGUGUCCGCUGGAUGACCCCAGCUUCCUGUCAUUCCAGGAUCAGAACAGAAGUUUUGACUUGGUUGAUAAGACGCUGGGCUCAAAUGGGAUUGUUGAGCAAUCAACAGUUUGAUUUGAAGUCUGGCAGAACCUUGACAACUGCAUAGGUGAGUCUGGAAAAAACAAAGCAUCUCAUGGAUGCAUUGUUUUGAGUCCAAACCCUCGAAAGAGGGAAUGGAUCCAGAGCAAUGAAAAUUCUUUUGAGCAAGAGCCGAGACUCUUGAACGUUCUUUGAUGUGUGUCGAGCAGAUCAGAGUUUGAUUUUGUUUUUGAGAUCAGUGAAAACUGAGCUGAAAAACAUAAGAAUCCGUUUUCAACGACGGUCAGCGUUCAGGAGAUUAAUUGGUCAAGCUACAAAGGGCUCACGGCGGAUACCUUGGCACACAGAGGCGAUGAAGG